Molecule: ribosomal RNA, 359 nt
Filed under: uncultured bacterium
Lineage: Bacteria
Description: bacterial SSU rRNA
Rfam family: Bacterial small subunit ribosomal RNA
Source: RNAcentral
AGUGAACGCUGGCGGCAGGCCUAACACAUGCAAGUCGAGCGGCAGCGGGUCCCCGCGAGGGGAUGCCGGCGAGCGGCGGACGGGUGAGGAACACAUCGGAAUCUGCCUGGUUGUGGGGGAUAACGUAGGGAAACUUACGCUAAUACCGCAUGAGACCCUGAGUCGACGGACUGGGGUGAAAGUGAGGGACCUUCGGGCCUCACGCGACCAGAUGAGCCGAUGUCGGAUUAGCUAGUUGGCGGGGUAACGGCCCGCCAAGGCGACGAUCCGUAGCUGGUCGUGAGAGGAUGAUCAGCCACACUGGGACUGAGACGACGGCCCAGACUCCUACGGGAGGCAGCAGUGGGAAUCUUGGACAA